UCUUUGUUAGUAUAUCGGUUAGUACACGCGCUUGUCAAUAUACUUGCCGCGCGAAAGCUGGGUUCGAUUCCCAGACAGAGAG
RNAcentral lists this transfer RNA (82 nucleotides) under Hypholoma sublateritium FD-334 SS-4. Its description in RNAcentral is "tRNA-Asp". It matches the Rfam family "tRNA". From Rfam's summary of the family: Transfer RNA (tRNA) molecules are approximately 80 nucleotides in length. Lineage: Eukaryota; Fungi; Basidiomycota; Agaricomycetes; Agaricales; Strophariaceae. The record is from RNAcentral.